AGAGUUUGAUCCUGGCUCAGGAUGAACGCUAGCUACAGGCUUAACACAUGCAAGUCGAGGGGUAGCAGGGUAGCAAUACCGCUGACGACCGGCGCACGGGUGAGUAACACGUAUCCAACCUUCCCAUAACCCAGGGAUAGCCUUUCGAAAGAAAGAUUAAUACCUGAUAGUACUUUUUCAAGGCAUCUUGAGAAAGUUAAAGAUUUAUUGGUUAUGGAUGGGGAUGCGUUCCAUUAGAUAGUUGGUGAGGUAACGGCUCACCAAGUCUUCGAUGGAUAGGGGUUCUGAGAGGAAGGUCCCCCACAUUGGUACUGAGACACGGACCAAACUCCUACGGGAGGCAGCAGUGAGGAAUAUUGGUCAAUGGGCGAGAGCCUGAACCAGCCAAGUAGCGUGAAGGAUGAAGGUCCUAUGGAUUGUAAACUUCUUUUAUAGUAGAAUAAAGUGAUCCACGUGUGGAUUUUGUAUGUAUACUAUGAAUAAGGAUCGGCUAACUCCGUGCCAGCAGCGGC
This 512-nucleotide ribosomal RNA is filed under the name uncultured bacterium. Its description in RNAcentral is "bacterial SSU rRNA". It matches the Rfam family "Bacterial small subunit ribosomal RNA", at positions 8 to 518 of the family's 1533-position model. The record is from RNAcentral.